This 497-nucleotide ribosomal RNA is filed under the name uncultured bacterium. RNAcentral's name for it is "partial 16S ribosomal RNA". It matches the Rfam family "Bacterial small subunit ribosomal RNA", at positions 28 to 507 of the family's 1533-position model. The record is from RNAcentral.
GAUGAACGCUGGCGGCGUGCCUAAUACAUGCAAGUCGAGCGAACAGACGAGGAGCUUACUCCUCUGACGUUAGCGGCGGACGGGUGAGUAACACGUGGAUAACCUACCUAUAAGACUGGGAUAACUUCGGGAAACCGGAGCUAAUACCGGAUAACAUGUUGAACCGCAUGGUUCAACAGUGAAAGACGGUCUUGCUGUCACUUAUAGAUGGAUCCGCGUCGCAUUAGCUAGUUGGUAAGGUAACGGCUUACCAAGGCAACGAUGCGUAGCCGACCUGAGAGGGUGAUCGGCCACACUGGAGCUGAGACACGGUCCAGACUCCUACGGGAGGCAGCAGUAGGGAAUCUUCCGCAAUAGGCGGAAGCCUGACGGAGCAACGCCGCGUGAGUGGAGAAGGUCUUCGGAUCGUAAAGCUCUGUUAUUGGGGAAGAACAAAUGUGUAAGUAACUGUGCACGUCUUGACGGUACCUAAUCAGAAAGCCACGGCUAACUACGUG